Molecule: transfer RNA, 75 nt
Filed under: Deltaproteobacteria bacterium HGW-Deltaproteobacteria-4
Lineage: Bacteria; Deltaproteobacteria
Also listed under: 2 other names
Description: tRNA-Thr
Rfam family: tRNA
About the family: Transfer RNA (tRNA) molecules are approximately 80 nucleotides in length.
Source: RNAcentral
GCCGUUGUGGCUCAGGGGUAGAGCAGCUCACUCGUAAUGAGCAGGUCGUCGGUUCAAUUCCGACCAACGGCUCCA